CUUGUGUUGACUGGCUUGAGAGUCUCCUGUGUAUUCUCUGGUCAAACUGGGCCACUGCUACAAACCCUUUCACCUCCCUAAACCCCAGUCUGGUUGGUGCUGAAGGUGGUUAUCUGAUGUCCAAUUUUCAGGAUGGAGUUGUGGCUCUCUAGUGUUGGGCCCCCUCACACAGGCCUGGAGUGUGCACCUCUGUCCAAGUGCUGCCAAACAGGCAGAACUCCCCCUUCUUGAGGAGCACCAAGUUGCUCAGGUUUGACAUUAGAGGAUUUUGAUUAGACUUCUGUCUUAAUUUUCUGUUGCUGGGACAAAAAUGCCUGACACCCACAAAUUAAAGGAGGAAAGGUUUAUUUUAGCUCAGUUUGUAGCGGUUUCAGUCCAUAGUCGGCUGGCUCCAAGACAGGGUGGCACAGCAGAGGGGCAUGGUAGAGGAUGAAGUCCAUGGCAGGGUAGGCAGGAGGUAGUGAAGCAGCAAAGCAGUAGCAGCAAGACUCCCUUUCCCUUUUAUCCCAUCCAGACUACAAGCCUUUGAGGGGGUGCCAUGCACCCCCAAGAUGGACCUUCCCAUUAUCAACACCCAAAACUUUGCUAAACCAAUCAGUAGACUAAUUUAGUAUCACACACCCUUAAUCCUAGUAUCACAACUCCUAGAUCUAGCCAGCUCUGAAAAGCCCCACAUGAGUGCAUGAGGCUUUGUGAAGACAUCUAGAUAUAACCCAUAACAGCUCCCUUGAUCACAAGGAACAAGAUUAAUAUUACUUCUCAUGGGAUAAAGGCAGGCAGGCCUUGGCCAGCCUAUGUCUAGUUCUCAUCCACACUGCCUUUCCUGGCAAGUUACUGUGGAGUCCUACUCCCACCUUCCUGGCUCUCCUUUAGUUUUCCCUCAUUUCUAAUCAGUCAACACAUUUUUUUUUUUUUUUACCAGAAGUAUUUAUUGAUGGAUCAAAGGCUAUAAUUUUAAUGGGACAACUGUGGAUUAAAAGUUUGCUGUACAGCCAAAGGUGGAAAAAGCCAUAAUCUUAGGAACUUUAUGUAAAUCAAGGAGCCUCUGAAGUACCUAAGAGUUUUGGCCAAUCUUACGGUUAUAAAGUCAUCUUAAAACAAGAUUAAACCAGCCAAACAAACAAAAAACCAAAAAACAUAAACCAGCCUCUCUGGGUCCUGGAAUUGAGACAUCUGUAAAACAACUUAGCAAAGAAAAAAAGCAGCAGAGCCACAGGAAACAAGAAAGAGCUAACAGGGAAACUAUAAACCACAGAAAAACUGAAAACAACACAAAAGCAGUCUGGAAUGCUAAUCCCUGCUCCUGGAGAAGUGAUCCUGUCUCUGCAAAUACAAAGUAAGCCUG
Molecule: long non-coding RNA, 1345 nt
Filed under: Heterocephalus glaber (naked mole-rat)
Lineage: Eukaryota; Metazoa; Chordata; Mammalia; Rodentia; Bathyergidae
Description: lncRNA (ENSHGLG00000050342.1)
Source: RNAcentral